AAAGAUGGAGAAUCCAUGGUGCCACUUUCCCGGUGAUCCCGGUGGGGGAAGGGGUUGCCGCCCGGCAGAGAUUCAGUCCCGAAUCCCGACAGCGAAGAGACUUAGAUGGGUUUCAGCAGCCCAGGCUGGUCUCGAACUCCUGGACUCAAGUGAUUGGCCCUCCUCGGCCUCCCAAAGUCCUGGGAUUACAAGCGUGAGCCACCAUGCUCAGUUGGCGGGGGAUUAUCUGUGAUCCAAUGAAGUUGGACUAGAGAUGUGAAGCCUUAGAAAACGGUGGAUUGAAAAAAGAAUUUUAGUCUCCUCCAGAGAUUAUAUUUUGUGUGUUCAUUGCUCUCAAAAACAUGAAAAUAAAGAGUAUUUUAUAUUGUGAUUUGUAGGACAAUAGCAUGCUUGU
RNAcentral lists this long non-coding RNA (394 nucleotides) under Homo sapiens (human). RNAcentral's name for it is "HSALNT0308585". Lineage: Eukaryota; Metazoa; Chordata; Mammalia; Primates; Hominidae. The record is from RNAcentral.